ACCUAGUACAGUUCGUCAUUUAACAAAAACAGUAAAGCCACAAAUCAUCUGGUCAUUUUUUUUCUCUCUCUAAAGACACCCGAAACGACAAAUGGCAAAGCAGUAGUAAAGAUAUAAAUAGUUACUUUCUGCCUACCAUACUGCUGAAAAAUAAUAUUCCCAGAUCGUUGUAUUUGAGAUGCGGAACCGAAACUUGACAUGUAACUAUCAUGUGACGGUCAUAUUUUAGAUGUUAUAGCGAGAGUUGUAUCAGGUUUGGUCUUUGUUUUUAAGUUGUGAAAUUUGCAGUUUUCAUUUAUGUAAAGGAAUGGAUGUUCUAUUCAAGAUAGCUGUGAUUACGUUAAUCACAUUCAACUUACAAUUAUUCGGACGCUCGCAACCACAACACGAUCCUGUCAACAACAAAGACAGCAGUGCGCAGUUGCAGUUUAAGACGGAGAUAAUUGAUGCCCAAUUUAAUAGCACCCUUUAUAUAAAAAACGUGAGUCUGGAGCAACAGUAUUUAUUUGUCUAUAGCUACAGCGAAACUAACAAGACAACAGCAGUACGUAUUUCUGCAUCCAGCAAAGAAGCUGACGGCAACUUCCCUAUUACUUUUGUAGUACGUCAGCAAGAGGGUAUUCUUUCUUGGCAGGUCCCUGUGUAUAUUGAUUAUGUUUAUAAAUUCCAGUUUGUGGACCGCACUCUUUGUCCCAUGGAUAAGACCAGGAGGCUGAACAUGACAACACAGCAGCACAUUUUUGUUGAUGUGGCCACGAUGUCUAACAGUAAUAUCAGCUUCAGUCUCAUGGCCAAGCUCUUGCCUGAUUUUGAACUGGUACAUGAUGUGACCAGAAAUGUGACAACAUCACCAUCACAGCCUCAGUAUUACAUGUACACCUUUCCUGAGGAUGUUGACACAGUCUUGUUGAAGGUGACGUCAGAUGAUAACCUCUGUGCAGUUGUCUCAGUGCAACAGAUCAAGUGUCCUGUGAUGGAUCUAGACAACAACAUUGGCUAUGGGGGAAAGCAUCAAACUAUGACUACACAAGCUGCGAUGUUUCUCCAGAAAAGCAACUAUCAACAAUUUGCUGCCUUCUAUGUGGUCAUCGUGGUCAAGCCCAUUAAUGCAGACUGUUCAGUGCAAGAUAUCAUUCGUCGUGCUGAACCUGAGAGUGUGACAAGCAAGAAUCUCUCUAUUGUGAUUACACGCACAAUCCCAAGUUCACAGUACUACAAGGCUAUAUUCAGCGCUCUUAGUAUUUUCUUAGGGUUUUACAUAGUUGCUGCCAUCAUUGGCUGCAUCUAUCAUGGCUGUGGGUGUCACAGAAACAUCAUGGACUUGACCCAUGCUGAGAAAGAAAAGCUUUUGGGCUGUACCUCAAUGACUGGAAGUGUAGAAGGUAGCCAAGGGCAUCAGUGCUAUGAUAGCCAAAGCAGCAUGUUAUCUGAUGGCAAUAUCUCAGAGUGUGAAAACCAGCUUCUGACAAGAUCACAACUGUCAGCUUAUGGUUCCAUAAUGAAAAAUCCGCUGUCGGAAAGCAACCAUUCUGCAGGAUCAGGUAAUAUGGAACCUAAUGUUAGUACUUCAUACAGAAGCAGCAUUGGGGACAAUGAUGAUGAACUGGACACAUCUGAUGUUGACUUUCUACCUGAUGCUGACUUCGAAAAAGAUGUCUUGAGGGCUAAGACAGUGCUGUAUGUCAGUGACUUGGCUCGGAAGUCUUACAAGAGGUUGUCCAAAACUUUCAAGGUCUAUCACUGGAACCUCAUUACCAUUGCCAUUUUUUAUGGCUUGCCUGUAGCCCAGCUGGUCUUGACUUACCAACAGGCUUUGCUGGACACAGGCAAUGAUGAUCUGUGCUAUUACAACUUUGACUGUGCUCAUCCCAUUCAUGACGUCAGUGCCUUCAACAACAUUAUCAGCAACAUGGGUUAUGUCCUCCUGGGUCUGCUGUUCUUUAUUCUGGUAUGGCGAAGAGAUUUAUUGCAUCGAAAGCUUGUGGUAGAAAACCCAGAGUUAGAGCGCUGCUAUGGGAUUCCACAGCACUAUGGGCUGCUGUAUGCCAUGGGUCUAGCUCUUAUUAUGGAGGGUGUCACAAGUGCCUGCUAUCAUGUCUGCCCCAGCUAUUCUAACUUCCAGUUUGAUACAUCCUUCAUGUACAUUAUUGCCUGUUUGUGCAUGCUGAAGAUAUAUGAGACUCGCCACCCUGAUGUUCAGGCCAAAGCCUACAAGUCUUACUUCUCUAUGGCUCUGCUUAUCUUCAUAGCUGUCCUUGGAGUGGUGUAUGGUUCCAAUAUUUUUUGGAUUUUUUAUGCCCUGGUGCACAUGCUGAGUAGCCUAGUGCUCAGCGCACAGAUUUAUUAUGUCGGACGCAUCAAACUAGAUCGCUAUAUCGUCAAACGCCUUUUUGUACUCCUUGCAUCUGACUGCUUCCAUUGUAUUAGGCCCACAUAUCCAUGCCCUUUAUGGCGCCAUUGUCCACCCAAUGGACUUUGCUAGCUUCUUACUGGGUAUCUUCAUUGGCAACCUCCUCCUCUAUCUUCUCUUUUAUAUACUUAUGAAGUUGGUGAGCGGCGAGAAGAUCAACUUGUUAACAGUCCUGUGUAUUGUUGCUGCCAGCAUCACAUGGGCCUUUGCUCUCUACUUUUUCUUUCACCAUCUGUCAUCUUGGAAG
RNAcentral lists this unclassified non-coding RNA (2657 nucleotides) under Pomacea canaliculata. RNAcentral's name for it is "sID1 transmembrane family member 1-like, transcript variant X6". Lineage: Eukaryota; Metazoa; Mollusca; Gastropoda; Architaenioglossa; Ampullariidae. The record is from RNAcentral.